AUUAGAUACCCCGGUAGUCCUGGCCGUAAACGAUGGGUACUAGGUGUAGGAGGUAUCGACCCCUUCUGUGCCGGAGUUAACGCAAUAAGUACCCCGCCCGGGGAGUACGACCGCAAGGUUGAAACUCAAAGGAAUUGACGGGGGCCCGCACAAGCGGUGGAGUAUGUGGUUUAAUUCGACGCAACGCGAAGAACCUUACCAGGUCUUGACAUUGAUGGACAGAACUAGAGAUAGUUCCUCUUCUUCGGAAGCCAGAAAACAGGUGGUGCACGGUUGUCGUCAGCUCGUGUCGUGAGAUGUUGGGUUAAGUCCCGCAACGAGCGCAACCCCUAUCUUAUGUUGCCAGCACUUUGGGUGGGAACUCAUGAGAGACUGCCGCAGACAAUGCGGAGGAAGGCGGGGAUGACGUCAAAUCAUCAUGCCCCUUAUGACCUGGGCUACACACGUACUACAAUGGGAGUUAAUAGACGGAAGCGAGAUCGCGAGAUGGAGCAAACCCGAGAAACACUCUCUCAGUUCGGAUCGUAGGCUGCAACUCGCCUACGUGAAGUCGGAAUCGCUAGUAAUCGCAGGUCAGCAUACUGCGGUGAAUACGUUCCCGGGCCUUGUACACACCGCCCGUCACACCACGAAAGUCGGAAGUGCCCAAAGCCGGUGGGGUAACCUUCGGGAGCCANCC
This 679-nucleotide ribosomal RNA is filed under the name uncultured bacterium. Its description in RNAcentral is "bacterial SSU rRNA". It matches the Rfam family "Bacterial small subunit ribosomal RNA", at positions 777 to 1454 of the family's 1533-position model. The record is from RNAcentral.